UACGUAGGUGGCGAGCGUUGUCCGGAAUUACUGGGUGUAAAGGGAGCGUAGGCGGGAGAGCAAGUCGACUGUGAAAUCUAUGGGCUUAACCCAUAGCUGCGAUCGAAACUGUUCAUCUUGAGUGAAGUAGGGGCAGGCGGAAUUCCUAGUGUAGCGGUGAAAUGCGUAAAUAUUAGGAGGAACACCAGUGGCGAAGGCGGCCUGCUGGGCUUUAACUGACGCUGAGGCUCGAAAGCGUGGGUAGCAAACAGG
Molecule: ribosomal RNA, 252 nt
Filed under: uncultured bacterium
Lineage: Bacteria
Description: partial 16S ribosomal RNA
Rfam family: Bacterial small subunit ribosomal RNA
Source: RNAcentral